RNAcentral lists this ribosomal RNA (227 nucleotides) under uncultured bacterium. RNAcentral's name for it is "partial 16S ribosomal RNA". It matches the Rfam family "Bacterial small subunit ribosomal RNA", at positions 107 to 334 of the family's 1533-position model. The record is from RNAcentral.
UGAGUAACACGUAUCCAACCUGCCGUCUACUCUUGGACAGCCUUCUGAAAGGAAGAUUAAUACAAGAUGGCAUCAUGAGUCCGCAUGUUCACAUGAUUAAAGGUAUUCCGGUAGACGAUGGGGAUGCGUUCCAUUAGAUAGUAGGCGGGGUAACGGCCCACCUAGUCUUCGAUGGAUAGGGGUUCUGAGAAGAAGGUCCCCCACAUUGGAACUGAGACACGGUCCAA